RNAcentral lists this non-coding RNA (310 nucleotides) under Oreochromis niloticus (Nile tilapia). Lineage: Eukaryota; Metazoa; Chordata; Actinopteri; Cichliformes; Cichlidae. The record is from Rfam by way of RNAcentral.
CUUGUAGUUGGAUCUUAGGAUCAAGCUGAUGCUUCGCCCUGAGGUGACCUACCAUCUCGCAUCUCCUACCUCUUGGUGCUCCCUCAGAGCUUUUAGCAAAGCGUUUAAUUUGAAAAAGUAAAUCUUCAAAGUAGGCCUGGUUGUCCGAAUAUAACAGCUAGGAGUAAUCCAUUAAAUUGCAGGUUUUCUCUCUGAACUGGGGGCAUGAUUAUGAGGGACAACUGGGGCAUUUGUAUUGUGCAACUAUACAAACGUUCAUGGAUGGACUGAAGCAGAAGCAUUUUCCAAGAAUGUUUUCAUUAAGUAAGAA